Molecule: ribosomal RNA, 354 nt
Filed under: Triticum aestivum (bread wheat)
Lineage: Eukaryota; Viridiplantae; Streptophyta; Magnoliopsida; Poales; Poaceae
Description: partial small subunit ribosomal RNA
Source: RNAcentral
AUGGCUUCGGAGCGGGCCGGGCCGGACACGGUGCUGGUCGCUUCGGUCGGGGAGCCGGGCGUGGGGGCGGCGGUGGCGGCCGCAACAUGGUAUGGACGCGCGACAUCGAGGAGGGCGGCCAGGUCUCCACCAACAUGGAGCAGGGCGCGCGGGCGACAGAUCGUGCAAGGUGGGAGGCGGCGGCCAUGGAGACGCAGAGCGACGACCGCCGGACUGAGAGAUGAGGGGACAACAACCAAGGAAAGGCGGCCACGGGAGAUCCAGGACCGCGCGACCCUCGUCCCCAACAAGAUGCACGUCUGCAACAAAAUUGUCGUCAAGCAACUCCAGGAAGAAGGAAUGCUUCCCCACUAG